Molecule: ribosomal RNA, 497 nt
Filed under: uncultured bacterium
Lineage: Bacteria
Description: partial 16S ribosomal RNA
Rfam family: Bacterial small subunit ribosomal RNA
Source: RNAcentral
GAUGAACGCUGGCGGCGUGCCUAAUACAUGCAAGUCGAGCGAACAGACGAGGAGCUUGCUCCUCUGACGUUAGCGGCGGACGGGUGAGUAACACGUGGAUAACCUACCUAUAAGACUGGGAUAACUUCGGGAAACCGGAUCUAAUACCGGAUAAUAUAUUGAACCGCAUGGUUCAAUAGUGAAAGACGGUUUUGCUGUCACUUAUAGAUGGAUCCGCGCCGCAUUAGCUAGUUGGUAAGGUAACGGCUUACCAAGGCGACGAUGCGUAGCCGACCUGAGAGGGUGAUCGGCCACACUGGAACUGAGACACGGUCCAGACUCCUACGGGAGGCAGCAGUAGGGAAUCUUCCGCAAAGGGCGAAAGCCUGACGGAGCAACGCCGCGUGAGUGAUGAAGGUCUUCGGAUCGUAAAACUCUGUUAUUAGGGAAGAACAAAUGUGUAAGUAACUAUGCACGUCUUGACGGUACCUAAUCAGAAAGCCACGGCUAACUACGUG